GGCAGAUGACAACUUUCCAUCAUAUCCAGCAAAAUCAGCUGCGAGAUUUCAUCACGUAAUAAUAAUAAUAAUAAUAAUAAUAAU
Long non-coding RNA from Octopus sinensis (East Asian common octopus), 84 nucleotides. RefSeq lists it as uncharacterized. The transcript has 3 exons. The record is from RefSeq and is a predicted model, not a curated record. Lineage: Eukaryota; Metazoa; Mollusca; Cephalopoda; Octopoda; Octopodidae.